Molecule: long non-coding RNA, 844 nt
Organism: Nomia melanderi (Alkali bee)
Lineage: Eukaryota; Metazoa; Arthropoda; Insecta; Hymenoptera; Halictidae
Source: RefSeq, a predicted model, not a curated record
UUAACGUCUGACAGUAAGAAACAAACAUCAAUGACCGCAUUGCCCGAAAAAAACCCUUCAUUCAUUCAAGUUUCAAGAAUAUAUGAAUAAAGUUAGAAGAAAAUCUGACAAUAAACCACAGGUAUAAACAUACCGCUUAUGGGGCUUACAUAAUUUUUAGAAGUUAUAGAUCAACACGACAUAAAUUCAGCAGGUAUCGCAAUCAUAGCAUUUUACUUCACGUUAAAACACAGUUUGGGAUACAAGUGUUUCAUAGUGAAUAGUAAUUUUAUAAAUUUGUGAAAUAUGUCUACUGAAAGGACCGAAACCAGUACAACUAAAAAUAGUUAUGAUACCACCAAAGAUAUGCCAUAAUUUAUUUUUAAAAUAAGGUUUGAACAUUCCUAAAAAUCCUGUUGUAUUUUCCUACGAUAAUUUGCGAAUUUUUGAGAUUAGAAUAAUUAUAUAACUAAUAUAUAAAAAUAUUACGUACAACACGUGGUAUGAAGGACAUGUAAGUGCCUAAAGUAGCUCUGGCAAUGAAAAAUAAUAGAUCUUGAUAUGGAACUAAACCAUCAGCAGAGUGUGGAUGGUAACAUUAUAAUUUCGAGAUGCGACGAAACAUACAAAUUCCUCCUACAUAUUUAACAAAGAUUACUCCAAAAAGUGCACUGUAUUAUCUAUUGACAACGAAAUCAUAAUUUUUAAUAAUCCUGAAAAACACGAGACGAUGCAUCGCUAGUUAAGACUUUCGACGUAGCCAAAGCAAACAAUAAUGGAAGUGAAGAACAAAAGUGAAAUUUUCAGUAUCGUUCCACAGUUGGAAAAUAUUAAUGUCUCCCAUACAACGAAAACUAUGGCAAAA